Molecule: ribosomal RNA, 253 nt
Filed under: uncultured bacterium
Lineage: Bacteria
Description: partial 16S ribosomal RNA
Rfam family: Bacterial small subunit ribosomal RNA
Source: RNAcentral
UACAGAGGUGGCAAGCGUUGUUCGGAAUUACUGGGCGUAAAGGGCGCGUAGGCGGUCCGAUAAGUCCUGUGUGAAAUCCCUCGGCUCAACUGAGGAACUGCACGGGAGACUGUCGGGCUUGAGUUCGGGAGAGGGAAGCGGAAUUCCGAGUGUAGAGGUGAAAUUCGUAGAUAUUCGGAAGAACACCAGUGGCGAAGGCGACUUACUGGACACAUAUUGACGCUGAGGUGCGAAAGCGUGGGGAGCAAACAGG